This is a non-coding RNA of Mycena epipterygia, 92 nucleotides long. The record is from the annotation of a GenBank genome assembly. NCBI's taxonomy places the organism in Eukaryota, Fungi, Basidiomycota, Agaricomycetes, Agaricales, Mycenaceae.
CACCCGGUAGCACACGGUGUGCAUCUGCUCUGCCUACGCAAUAGAUGAUAUAUUGCAAGCAGAAGGACCCUGUUCGAUUCGGGGCCGGGUGU